RNAcentral lists this ribosomal RNA (371 nucleotides) under uncultured organism. Its description in RNAcentral is "bacterial SSU rRNA". It matches the Rfam family "Bacterial small subunit ribosomal RNA", at positions 526 to 896 of the family's 1533-position model. The record is from RNAcentral.
CAGAGGGUGCAAGCGUUAAUCGGAAUUACUGGGCGUAAAGCGUGCGUAGUCGGUUAUUUAAGUCGGAUGUGAAAUCCCCGGGCUCAACCUGGGAAUUGCAUUCGAUACUGGAUAGCUAGAGUUCGGCAGAGGGAAGCGGAAUUUCGGGUGUAGCGGUGAAAUGCGUAGAUAUCCGAAGGAACAUCAGUGGCGAAAGCGGCUUCCUGGACCAGAACUGACGAUCAGGCACGAAAGCGUGGGGAGCAAACAGGAUUAGAUACCCUGGUAGUCCACGCCAUAAACGAUGACAACUAGACGUUGGGGACAUAUGGUCCACAGUGUCGCAGCUAACGCGUUAAGUUGUCCGCCUGGGGAGUACGGCCGCAAGGUUG